Molecule: unclassified non-coding RNA, 335 nt
Filed under: soil metagenome
Description: partial contains 5.8S ribosomal RNA, internal transcribed spacer 2, and large subunit ribosomal RNA
Rfam family: 5.8S ribosomal RNA (bases 1-121)
Source: RNAcentral
GAUGAAGAACGCAGUGAAAUGCGAUAAGUAAUGCGAAUUGCAGAAUUCCAGUGAGUCAUCGAAUCUUUGAACGCACAUUGCGCCCGCCAGUAUUCUGGCGGGCAUGCCUGUUCGAGCGUCAUUUCAACCAUCAAGCCCUGCUUGCGUUGGGGUCCUGCGGCUGCCCGCAGGCCCUGAAAACCAGUGGCGGGCUCGCUAGUCACACCGAGCGCAGUAAUACAUCUCGCUUUGGGCGUGCGGCGGGUUCUUGCCGUUAAACACCCCCUUUUUACCAAGGUUGACCUCGGAUCAGGUAGGAAUACCCGCUGAACUUAAGCAUAUCAAUAAGCGGAGGA